CAGGAAGUGACUAUGGGUGUGGCUAGGGAGUGACUGGUGCGGAGUACUGGUUCUACUGGGCUGGUGGAGAGCAAGGAGAGCAAGUGCCUGCUGCUACUGGGGCAUGGGAUUCAUCCCUGAGCUGGGAGUAGAUGACUUGUUUGGGAAGCCUUGAGAUGCUCAUCCAACUAUCACAAAACAAGCUACCAUAUCCAUGAUGGACAAUCGUUCUCCAGUGUAGUCCUGAAGAGGAAGAACUGCGAUUACUCAUCACAAACUGGCAGAAUCCUUUUUUACUUUUAACAAGUUUGACGAGCCCAAUGGGAAUUACACACGGCUUUCCCGGGAACAGGCCCAGAUCCCUGUCAUAUGAGUGAAGAGAAGGCGGAGAAAAAAGGGCCGGAGGGCAGGCUGCCUUCUGAGAAUUCGCAGGCGAUCGAAUAAACCCCCACUGCCUUCCAUUCUGCUAGCACAAACUAUUUUCUUCUUCUUGAACUGAACUGUUGGUUAAGGGAUGUAAGUAAGCAUUUCACGGUAAAGUCUACACUUGUAUUCGGCGC
Molecule: long non-coding RNA, 539 nt
Organism: Oncorhynchus keta (chum salmon)
Lineage: Eukaryota; Metazoa; Chordata; Actinopteri; Salmoniformes; Salmonidae
Exons: 3
Source: RefSeq, a predicted model, not a curated record